RNAcentral lists this ribosomal RNA (465 nucleotides) under uncultured bacterium. RNAcentral's name for it is "partial 16S ribosomal RNA". It matches the Rfam family "Bacterial small subunit ribosomal RNA", at positions 28 to 507 of the family's 1533-position model. The record is from RNAcentral.
GACGAACGCUGGCGGCGUGCUUAACACAUGCAAGUCGAACGGAAAGGCCCCUUCGGGGGUACUCGAGUGGCGAACAGGUGAGUAACACGUGAGUAACCUGCCCUUGACUUCGGGAUAACUUCAGGAAACUGGGGCUAAUACCGGAUAGGAAUCCUUGCUGCAUGGUGGGGGUUGGAAAGCUUCGGCGGUUUUGGAUGGACUCGCGGCUUAUCAGCUUGUUGGUGGGGUAGUGGCUUACCAAGGCUUUGACGGGUAGCCGGCCUGAGAGGGCGACCGGCCACAUUGGGACUGAGAUACGGCCCAGACUCCUACGGGAGGCAGCAGUGGGGAAUAUUGCACAAUGGGCGGAAGCCUGAUGCAGCAACGCCGCGUGCGGGAUGACGGCCUUCGGGUUGUAAACCGCUUUCAGCAGGGGCGAAGCUUGUGGUGACGGUACCUGCAGAAGAAGCGCCGGCUAACUACGUG